Molecule: non-coding RNA, 307 nt
Organism: Felis catus (domestic cat)
Lineage: Eukaryota; Metazoa; Chordata; Mammalia; Carnivora; Felidae
Source: Rfam
AGAUUUGAAGGUGAUCUGGCUGUGACAUCUGUCACCUCAUUGAUCGCCAGGAUUGAUUCAGCUGAUCUGACUGGCUAGGUGGGUGUCCCCUUCCUCCCUCAUCGCUGCAUUGUGUCCUUCCCAAAGCUGCACUAUCAGUCAAGGACGACCUUCCCCAAUAGAGGAAGACCAUUCAUUCUUCAGUCAAGGGAAUAUGAGUAGCUGCGCUCUCCUGCUAGAACCUCCAAACAAGCUCUCAGAGAGGCGCAGUGACUUGUCUAAGGUCACCCAGCAGGGCCCAUCCCCAAUUCUCAGGCAUUCAUUGAUU